This 1194-nucleotide ribosomal RNA is filed under the name Triticum aestivum (bread wheat). RNAcentral describes it as "partial small subunit ribosomal RNA". Lineage: Eukaryota; Viridiplantae; Streptophyta; Magnoliopsida; Poales; Poaceae. The record is from RNAcentral.
AUGAUGCAAUUUUUUUUUAUCAUAUCUCCUUUGUUGUCAAUCGAAUCCAGGUUGAACAAACCGGACCUUCCACUCUACUCGCGGUAUUUUUCUUAUGACAACACAAACCGCAGCUGCUCUGUCAAGGCCAUUAAGCUAGGGAAGAAAAAAGACUUCCUUUCUGAUUUUCAUGAGGUGCCUACUGCCUUCUUCAGAGGAACCUACACUGUAGGGAGUUUCACCACUGAUUGCCUCUUGAAGUGGUAUGAUGCUAAAGACAAACACAAAGUUCUUUCUUCGCUCCGACUGAUGAGCACCUGGAGGCACCCAAAUGUGGUGGUGUUGCAGAAUAUCUACAAGUUGCACCCAGAUUAUCGUCUUAUAAUAUCCACCAGCUCUUUUGAUGGUACCUUAAAUGGAUGGCUCAAGCAUGGUGAAAAGAACAAGAUUGAAGAGAACAGGAUUUUAAAUAUGGAUGGAAAAUUCACCCCUGUUUUCAGCAGAAUCACACUAGAUCUACUUGAUAUCUUGGACAAGAUGAUUAGACGUAAGAUGUGUCCGAAAGACCUUACAGUUGACAACCUAUAUCUGAAGACUGUGAAUGGUCAACCUCAACUUAAAGUAUUCUUCGAUGAUGUUGAGGAUCUCAGGGGGACCAGGGUGUACUGUGAUUUCAUUGAGAAACAUGGUCCUGACUUCAUUGGCAAAAAUUUGGCAAAAGUUGCCAAGUUUUAUCCCAUUGAGUGGGAUGAUGAAGACAAGAGCAAGUAUCUCAUUGACAUAUUCUCAUCAACUCGAGAUUGUAAUGCGGCUCUUAAUGCUUGUGGAAUAAGAUGGCCAAGAAAUGAGUCUGAAGAUGACACGUGUCAGGAGCUGAAAACACUAAAAGAAAUGAUGGAAAGAGCGAACAUAGAUAACAACAAAAGGAAGGCGGCGCUGAAACUUCAAGGAGCCGAGGGUAGAGCUACGGCCAACAAGAUUAGGGAAUACAUAUGGAACUGUGAUAUUGACUAUCCAAAUGAUCUUGUCAGGCUCGUGAGGAACUUAUGGAAGCAUUUCUCCACGUACCCUCACUACAUUAAGACGCACCUUGUGGGUAGCCAAAGUGCUGUUUUGCACAAGUUCGAGCAGUGGUGCCCUGAUGUCUGGACGUUGAUCUACAACACCGUGGGCCAACCAUACGGUGCAAAACACUGGUUGGUAAACUGCGCGUAA